ACCUACAUUUGGAUACAUUUUCUCAAUUUCUGGCUCAGACCGAAAGGGCUAGGUUAGACCCUACAUCUAACAAAAUCAAGGCCCCCAAAAAAAUCGCGCACGAGAGCCCGUGGUGAAGGGUGAUAUCCCAGGGAAUGUCACAUCGAAGUUCAACUGAUUUGCUUGGCUAACGUUACAUCCUCGGUUUGUGAAAUUACAGUUGCCACUCUUGGACAAAAUUUCACACACUAGUCUUCCCCCUCGAUUGCGGAAUCGUCCUAUAAGAGGACAACCUGUAGCAAGUGAGAGGCGAAAGCGUGUUAUGUUUUACUAUAUUAGAUCACUCCAAUAUAUUGCUAUCACUCCAUGGCGGAGGGAUACAUCCGAGGAUUUACAGAUUACCUCCCGUGUACACCUGUGUCUCGACUGGGGUCCGCCCCUAUAGAUAGACCCCAUGGCCGCGACACAUUCCCUUUCAUUUUCUCGGCGGACGUCCGUAUGGUUUGAGGUACAAACUUUCUGAAGUUCGCUUGGUAAAUUACUGGUAACUGUAAUAUCUUGCGUGGAAGUAUACUCACUGGCUGUUUGCAGCCUGGAGCAGCUGGCCCUCUUGAGUGCUCCACUCGCUGCGCGCGGUUGAUCUGUAUCUUCCGCUCGUGGUUUGUUGUGCUUGUGUUUUGUUAGCGUUAUACUACGACUCCGUGUACAUUAAUAUAUUGGGGGCCCUGCUGCCACAAACUGUAAUUGACCUUACACAACUUGCCGACUGGCUUGUUCUAUGUGUGUUUUGUGAAUUGCUUUAACAUGUUGCUCCCGGGUUCUCUGAUAAUUAUCUUGCAGGGUUUUUUCUUGUUCUUUCCCCUGCAGUGUGUGAGUAUCGUAGAAAACUACAUUGAGACAUUAACUUUUAGGUUCCUUAAAGGGCACUACUCCAUAUGGUGCUGUUUUUACUGCUUGGAUAUUAAACCGGUAGGUAAUAUUGCAAUUGGCGUAAAACAAAUAAAUCAAAUCCAUUACCUGGUUGAUGUUUUUUUUUUUUUGUCUGCCAUUUUUUUUGCAGAGAUACUGGGUAAUUUAUCCCUCACCGGGUUCCUAUUCCUCCAAGUGGGUCACGACAUGCCUCUCCCAGGGCGUUGGACCCUGCUCUGUGGCCUUGUUGGCUUGACUGAGCUUAUGGCUUCCCUUUGUGACAGGUGUGGCGGUGUCAACCGUCACCGCCAUAGGGAUGUGCCUGGGAGACCCAGGUGCUCGGGGCUCCAGAGAAGAGGAAAGCCCCGGCAGGACCUCUGAAACAUUCUCCAGGUCUCAAAGGGCAAAGUGGGAGGAGGGUGUGGAGUCCCCCUGGGUGUUGUCCACAAUGCCGACCCCAACCCCCCCCCCCCCCCCCGGAAGAAAACCCUGCGGCUGGAGAUCUCCUCACUCCUGAAGAAAAGUGACUUCCGCGGGAUCGAUACAUCAGAACCACUAGGUAAAUUCCUGACAAUAAACUGUUGGGCCCCAAGUAUGAUGCCAAUGUGCCAGAAGAUAACAGGUUUCAUCCAAGCAUGCUCUCCCAAUAUGUAAAGCGUAUCAAGGUUAAGAUGGGUUUGCUUGUUGAUCUAACAAACACUACCGGCUUCUACAGUAUGACCGCAACGUAAUCGAGAACGAGGGUGUUAAAUAUGUGAAGCUUCAGUGCAAAGGAGACUACUGAGAUGUUCAUCAGACUGUGAGCACUUCAUGGAGAAGACUACCACUGAAUUGGUGUCCACUGCACGCACGGCUUCAAUCGGACAUGCUUUCUGAUCUGUGCAUACCUGGUGGAGAAGAUGGAUUGGAGGACAAUACAGUGCCACUGACACGGCCCGCUACCAGAACCUGCGGGCUUUCCUUCACCGCGGCCAACGUGAGUAAAACAUUUCAACGUGUUAACCCUCGCAAGGCUGCCAGCCCAGACGGCAUCCCUAGCCGCAUCCUCAGAGCAUGCACAGACCAGCUGGCUGGUGUGUUUAUGGACAAUCAAUCUCUAUCCCAGUCUGCUGUUCCCACAUGCUUCAAGAGGGCCACCAUUGUUCCUGUUCCCAAGAAAGCUAAGGUAACUGAGCUAAACGACUAUCGCCCCGUAGCACUCACUUCCGUCAUCAAGAAGUGCUUUGAGACUAGUUACUGAUCAUAUCACCUCCACACUACCUGACACCCUAGACCCACUCCAAUUUGCUUACUGCCCCAAUAGGUCCACAGACGACGCAAUCACACUGCCCUAACCCACCUGGACAAGAGGAAUACCUAUGUGAGAAUGCUGUUCAUCGAUUACAGCUCAGCAUUUAACACCAUAGUACCCUCCAAACUCGUCAUCAAGCUUGAGACCCUGGUUCUCGACCCCGCCCUGUGCAACUGGGUCCUGGACUUUCUGACAGGCCGCCCCCAGGUGGUGAGGGUAGGAAACAUCUCCACCCCGCUGAUCCUCAACACUGGGGCCCCACAAGGGUGUGUCCUCAUCCCUCUCCUGUACUCUCUGUUCACCCAUGACUGCUUGGCCGUGCACGCCUCCAACUCAAUCAUCAAGUUUGCGGACGACACUACAGUGGGAGGCUUGAUUACCAACAACGACGAGACAGCCUACAGGGAGGAGGUGAGGGCCCUCGGAGUGUGGUGUCAGGAAAGUAACCUCGCACUCAACGUCAACAAAACAAAGGAGAUGAUGGACUUCAGGAAACAGCAGAGGGAGCACCCCCCUAGCCACAUCGACGGGACAGUUGUGGAGAAGGUGGGAAGUUAAGUUCCUCGGCGUACACAUCACAGACAAACUGAAAUGGUCCACCCACACAGACAGCGUAGUGAAGAAGGCGCAACAGUGCCUCUUGAACCUCAAGAGGGUGAAGAAAUUUGGCUUGUCACCGAAAACACUCAAACUUCCGUGCACCUUUCAUCCAAGCUACUCAAUACUGCCCCUGCAGCCAUAAGAAGUUAAUUAAACCUAUGUAAAAUAUGUUUUGUUUUUUGAAUUUUAAUGAGUAUUUCUGUAUUUGAAUUUGGCGCCCAGCAGUUUCACUGGCUGUUGAAGAGGUGGGACGCUAACGUCUCACGUACCCAUUACAGAUGCACAAUCGAGAGCAUCCUGUCGGGCUGUAUCAAUUCCUGUUACGGCAACUGCUCCGUCCACAACCGUAAGGCUCUCCAGAGGGUAGUGAGGUCAGCACUUAGUUGACCGGGGCAGCUCUAACAGGGCAAACAUUUGACGACCUGACUUGUUGGAAAGGUGGCAUCCUAUGACGGUGCCACUUUAAGUCACUGAGAUCUUAAGGCCAUUCUACUGCCAAUGUUUGUCUAUGGAGAUCGCAUGGUCGUGUGCUCUAUUUUAUCCACCUUUCAGCAACGGGUGUGGCUGAAAUAGCCAAAACCACUAAUUUGAAGGGGUGCCAACAUACUUUUGUGUGUGUAUAUAUCUUUGUUCCAUUUUGAGUAGAUUGGUAAUGUUAGUUUGAGUAAGAAUAUAUAGAAUUUGGAGACUAUGCCCUUACUUACCCUUGCUGUCGUUAUUUUGUGAAUAGGAUGAGAUUCUAGAUUUGAACCUCAGGGUUCCAUAAGCAUGUACAGCAGAACAAAGCUGCAAAUAAAAGAAAAAUGAAGAACCAGGCAGACUGUAUAGCUUUUUCAAGUCUUGGAACGCAUGUAAGCUACAACUGUCCACAAUGCCAGAGAGAGUAUGAUUUCCCUUCUCACUCCAAGCUGGAAAAUAUAUUGUCUGGCCACCCAAGAGGAGAAUAGAACUUCCGCACUCAACAACCCGGUCGCAUUCCGCUUCGCUCCACAGGUAGUAUCACAUUUUCAUUUCACUACAGUACAACGGUUUGAUUUGUUUGAUCGUAGCUAGCUACAUAGCUAGCUACAUAGCCGUCUUUGUAUCAAAGAUAAUUGUGUAGUCUAGAGCGAUUUUCUAGGUUAGCUAGCCAGCUAUUGUCGUUCUUUUAACGCAACGUAACGUAAUCAACACUGCUAGCUAGCCAGCUAGCCACCGACUAGCAGCACUGUAGCAGCACUGUAGAAACUAUUACACUCAACGGAACGACUUGAUCAGUGUAGUGUCAACAACGCAGCCACUGCCAACUAGCCUACUUCAGCAGUACUGUAUCAUUUUAAUCAUUUUAGUCAAUAAGAUUCUUGCUACGUAAGCUUAACUUUCUGAACAUUCGAGACGUGUAGUCCACUUGUCAUUCCAAUCUCCUUUGCAUUAGCGUAGCCUCUCCUGUAGCCUGUCAACUAUGUGUCUGUCUAUCCCUGUUCUCUCCUCUCUGCACAGACCAUACAAACGCUUCACACCGCGUGGCCGCGGCCACCCUAAUCUGGUGGUCCCAGCGCGCACGACCCACGUGGAGUUCCAGGUCUCCGGUAGCCUCUGGAACUGCCGAUCUGCGGCCAACAAGGCAGAGUUCAUCUCAGCCUAUGCCUCCCUCCAGUCCCUCGACUUCUUGGCACUGACGGAAACAUGGAUCACCACAGAUAACACUGCUACUCCUACUGCUCUCUCUUCGUCCGCCCACGUGUUCUCGCACACCCCGAGAGCAGCUGGUCAGCAGGGUGGUGGCACCGGGAUCCUCAUCUCUCCCAAGUGGUCAUUCUCUCUUUCUCCCCUUACCCAUCUGUCUAUCGCCUCCUUUGAAUUCCAUGCUGUCACAGUUACCAGCCCUUUCAAGCUUAACAUCCUUAUCAUUUAUCGCCCUCCAGGUUCCCUCGGAGAGUUCAUCAAUGAGCUUGAUGCCGUGAUAAGCUCCUUUCCUGAGGACGGCUCACCUCUCACAGUUCUGGGCGACUUUAACCUCCCCACGUCUACCUUUGACUCAUUCCUCUCUGCCUCCUUCUUUCCACUCCUCUCCUCUUUUGACCUCACCCUCUCACCUUCCCCCCCUACUCACAAGGCAGGCAAUACGCUUGACCUCAUCUUUACUAGAUGCUGUUCUUCCACUAACCACAUUGCAACUCCCCUCCAAGUC
Molecule: long non-coding RNA, 4949 nt
Organism: Salvelinus fontinalis (brook trout)
Lineage: Eukaryota; Metazoa; Chordata; Actinopteri; Salmoniformes; Salmonidae
Exons: 6
Source: RefSeq, a predicted model, not a curated record